GUCGUAACAAGGUUUCCGUAGGUGAACCUGCGGAAGGAUCAUUAUUGAAUGAACUUGGUGUGGUUGUUGCUGGCCCUUUCGGGGGCAUGUGCACACCCAUCAUCCUCAUCUCUCCACCUGUGCACCUCUUGUAGACUUGGAUUGACUUUCCGAGGCAACUCGGUCGGGAGGACUUGCUGGCAUUAGCUGGCUUUCCUUGCAUUUCCAAGUCUAUGUUUUUCAUAUACCCCAUUGAAUGUAACAGAAUGUAACAUAUUGGGCCUUUGUGCCUAUAAAAACUUAUACAACUUUCAGCAACGGAUCUCUUGGCUCUCGCAUCGAUGAAGAACGCAGCGAAAUGCGAUAAGUAAUGUGAAUUGCAGAAUUCAGUGAAUCAUCGAAUCUUUGAACGCACCUUGCGCUCCUUGGUAUUCCGAGGAGCAUGCCUGUUUGAGUGUCAUUAAAUUCUCAACUAUUAUCAGCUUUUGCUGAUAAUGGCUUGGAUAUGGGGGUUUAUUUUGCUGGCUUCUUCACAGAUUGUCAGCUCCCCUUAAAUGCAUUAGCCGGUGCCCCGCGUGGACUGUCUAUUGGUGUGAUAAUUAUCUACGCCGUGGACAUCUACAAUCAUAUGGGUUUGCACUGCUUCCAACCGUCUGUUUAUUCAGACAAUACAUGACAAUUUGACCUCAAAUCAGGUAGGACUACCCGCUGAACUUAAGCAUAUCAAUAAGCG
RNAcentral lists this ribosomal RNA (712 nucleotides) under uncultured Hebeloma. Its description in RNAcentral is "eukaryotic LSU rRNA". The stretch from base 286 to 439 matches the Rfam family "5.8S ribosomal RNA". The record is from RNAcentral. Lineage: Eukaryota; Fungi; Basidiomycota; Agaricomycetes; Agaricales; Cortinariaceae.